GGGCUCUUAGCUUAGUUGGUAGAGCGACUGCUUUGCACGCAGUAGGUCAGGGGUUCGACUCCCCUAGAGUCCA
Molecule: transfer RNA, 73 nt
Filed under: bacterium
Lineage: Bacteria
Also listed under: 1 other name
Description: tRNA-Ala
Rfam family: tRNA
About the family: Transfer RNA (tRNA) molecules are approximately 80 nucleotides in length.
Source: RNAcentral